CUUCGGGAGGCAGCAGUGGGGAAUAUUGCACAAUGGGCGAAAGCCUGAUGCAGCGACGCCGCGUGAGGGAUGACGGCCUUCGGGUUGUAAACCUCUUUCAGCAGGGAAGAAGCGAAAGUGACGGUACCUGCAGAAGAAGCGCCGGCUAACUACGUGCCAGCAGCCGCGGUAAUACGUAGGGCGCAAGCGUUGUCCGGAAUUAUUGGGCGUAAAGAGCUCGUAGGCGGCUUGUCACGUCGGAUGUGAAAGCCCGGGGCUUAACCCCGGGUCUGCAUUCGAUACGGGCUAGCUAGAGUGUGGUAGGGGAGAUCGGAAUUCCUGGUGUAGCGGUGAAAUGCGCAGAUAUCAGGAGGAACACCGGUGGCGAAGGCGGAUCUCUGGGCCAUUACUGACGCUGAGGAGCGAAAGCGUGGGGAGCGAACAGGAUUAGAUACCCUGGUAGUCCACGCCGUAAACGUUGGGAACUAGGUGUUGGCGACAUUCCACGUCGUCGGUGCCGCAGCUAACGCAUUAAGUUCCCCGCCUGG
This 527-nucleotide ribosomal RNA is filed under the name Streptomyces sp. RNAcentral describes it as "bacterial SSU rRNA". It matches the Rfam family "Bacterial small subunit ribosomal RNA", at positions 339 to 876 of the family's 1533-position model. Lineage: Bacteria; Bacillati; Actinomycetota; Actinomycetes; Kitasatosporales; Streptomycetaceae. The record is from RNAcentral.